Non-coding RNA from Suillus placidus, 87 nucleotides. The record is from the annotation of a GenBank genome assembly. Lineage: Eukaryota; Fungi; Basidiomycota; Agaricomycetes; Boletales; Suillaceae.
UCUCUGGUAGUAUAUCGGAUAGUACACCCGCCUGUCACAGCUGCAGCCUGUGCGCGGGAAAGCGGGGUUCGAUUCCCCGCCAGAGAG